Long non-coding RNA from Dreissena polymorpha, 3642 nucleotides. RefSeq lists it as uncharacterized. The transcript is spliced from 2 exons. The record is from RefSeq and is a predicted model, not a curated record. NCBI's taxonomy places the organism in Eukaryota, Metazoa, Mollusca, Bivalvia, Myida, Dreissenidae.
GCUUGAAACAUGGAUACCGUAAUUACUCUAUGUUUUCGGACACCCCUUUUUUUAGCAAAAAUAAUUAUGUUUCGUGACUCUUAAUUUUCGGACACUCGAGUUUUCGUCCAUAAUUAAUGUCUCUCAGACAGUAUAUUUUACAGCGCUAUUUAACCGAAUUUCGGUCCUGUUUCCAAAAACAUGGAAGGUUUAUGUCUGAGGGCAAAGGACCAUUACAUUUGCGUUAUUUGGUAAAUGACCUUGUAAACUGGUAUUAAACAAUGAUUUUGUCCGAUAGCAUAAGCGUUAUGACAAUUACCAGGGGUAGUGCCAAUUAACAGUUCAAUUAUCUACAGCAAUUGUACUACCCCUAAUCAGUAAAAUAACUGUGACAAACACUAAACGCUUCAAAGUGUGAUGCAACCUAUUGCAAGUUUUACGAACAAUUAGACAACAACUAUCAGAUAUAAACAAACAGAAUCCAUAGUUUGCUUUUUUUAUUGCGUUAAUUACAGGUUCAUACUAGCGAGUAUCGGUACAUCACAUGCUCAUCUUUUAACUCGUUGGUCAAAGUACAACCUUGAAGUAAUUUUCGUUCAAAUAAUUUAAGCAUUUAAAAUUAUUUAAAACAUUAAAAUUAUUUAUUGCAAACAUAUAUAACUCUAUAAUUUAUAUUACAUGGCAUGGUAUUUUACAAGCGAGUGCUAUUACAGGUAGUCGUAGAGUAAUUACGGUAGAUGGCAAUAUGGGCAUUAUGCACGUCAUUUAAUUUUGUUCCUACGUCAAAAAUUCUGGUUGCUAUGGCAACAAAUUAAAAAAAUUCUGACUGGUGGAAUUGCUGACAAUGGUGGAGCCGGUAGGGGACAUAUUUUGCUUGGCAAUAUGUCUUGUUCUGAAUUUGUUUAAGUAUUGCCCUUUGUUAUUGUUUGUAUCACAUUUUGUCUGGAACAUACUUCAAACACUAUUAGAGAUAUCAACUUGAAACUUAACAAGUAGGUAAAUCUCAGUUAGGGAAGGUGCAGUGCACAAUAUCCUUACUCUUGGUUUCCGAUGUUUUAGAGUUAUUGCCCAUUGUUAAUUUGGGUAUUUCGGUUUUGCAAUAAGCACAUCUUAAACUUGAAACUAAAAUGUUAGGGAGAUCUCAUUAUGGUGCAGUGCAAAUGAACUAUUUCUCUUGUAUUUUUAAAGAGUUAUUGCCCUUUUUCUGUUUAAGUUUUUUAAUGUUGUCAGGAGCAUAUCUAGAAAAUUAAGCAACUUGAAACUUCAUUGGAAGUAAGAUCUUAUUGAGGGGCUUCGAAGUGCAUAAAAUAAAAUAAUGCUUGCUCUACUAUUAUGAGAGUUAUUUUCUUUUCUGAAUGUUUAUACUUACAUUUUUUUCAAUAAAUUUCCAUGAUGACUGUUCAUCCACCAUUUAUUUAUGUGUUCAGUGGCAUCAAGCAAGGGACUCUGUGUAUGAAAGACACAUUUAUUGUUUAAUUGAUGUAUUGAUAUUGCAUAUUUUGUAAGGUUUAUUGGUAUGUGUGUUUGUUGGUAAUAAUGUGUAAUGUCGUCCCAAUGUUCAUAAUUCCAUAAUUUGUAGUUUGUAUGAAAAAUGUUUUAAUAAUUCGACAUAGAGUUAUAAUCAUAAAAUUAUUUGAAAAAUGUAAUCAUAAUAUAAAAAACUCCACUUCUGAUUAACAUUUUUCCCAGUGCACAAAAAAUCUUACUUCAAUUUAGUAGAUUUAUCUGUGGUUAAGCAACAAAACAUUUCAUAAUUAAACAUAUCAAAUAAUGGACAUGACAACAAACUUAAUACAACAGGUAACUUAUAUCAGGCCAAGAUUUAGCUACAUGACAUUUCUUGCAAAAACUCGACAUACAUAAUAAACAUAAACUUUAUUGAGCAAAUUGCUUGCUUGCAAAAAAGCUUAAUUUUGAUUUUAUUAUGCCCCCCUUCAAAGAAGAGGGGGUAUAUUGUUUUGCACAUGUCGGUCGGUCGGUCGGUCCUGCCACCAGAUGGUUUCUGGAUGAUAACUCAAGAACGCUUAGGCCAAGGAUCAUGAAACUUCAUAGGUACAUUGAUCAUGACAAGCAGAUGACCCCUAUUAAUUUUUCAGUCACUAGGUCAAAGGUCAAGGUCACAGUGACUCAAAAUAGUAAAAUGGUUUCCGGAUGAUAACUCAAAAAUGCUUAGGCCUAGGAUCAUGAAACUUCAUAGGUACAUUGAUCAUGACUGGCAGAUAACCCCUAUUGAUUUUCAGGUCACUAGGUCAAAGGUCAAGGUCACAGUGACUUGAAAUAGUGAAAUGGUUUCCAGAUGAUAACUCAAGAAUGCUUACGCCUAGGAUCAUGAAACUUCAUAGGAACAUUGAUCAUGACUGGCAGAUGACCCCUAUUGAUUGUCAGGUCACUAGGUCAAAGGUCAAGGUCUUAGUGACUAGAAACAGUUAAAUGGUUUCCGGAUUAUAACUCAGGAAUGAUUACGCCUAGGAUCAUGAGACUUCAUAGGUACAUUGAUAAUGACUGGCAGAUGACCCCUAUUGAUUUUCAGAUUACUAGGUCAAAGGUCAAUGUCACAGUGUCUCGAAAUAGUAAAAUGGUUUCCGGUUGAUAAAUCAAGAAUGAUUACGGCUAGGAUCAUGAAACUUCAUAGGUACAUUGAUCAUGACUGGCAGAUGACCCCUAUCAAUUUUCAGGUCACUAGGUCAAAGGUCAAGUUCACAGUGACUCGAAACAGUAAAAUGGUUUCCUAAUGAUAACAUAAGAAUAAUUAGGCCUAGGAUCAUGAAACUUCUUAGGUACAUUGAUCAAGGCUGGCAGAUGACCCCUAUUGAUUUUCAGGUCACCAGGUCAAAGGUCGAGGUCACAGUGACAAAAAACGGAUUCGCACAAUGGCUGUCACUACAACUGACAGCCCAUAUGGGGGGGCAUGCAUGUUUUACAAACAGCCCUUGUUUAUUUUCCACUGUUUGAUUACUUAAAAUUUCUCGUGCUAAGCCAUCUUUUUCUCCACCAAAAUAUCUGCAUUGUUCAUGCUUUUAUUAUCCCCCGCCAUAGGUGGAGGGAUAUUGUUUUGGCGUUGUCUGUCCGUCUUUCCGUCCGUCCGUCCAGAGCCAUAUCUUGGAAGUGCUUUGGUGGAUUUGAUUGAAACUUGGUAUGAGUAUAUAUAUGGAUAAGAGAAUGAUGCAUGCCAAAUUGCAUUGUACACCAUCUGUUAAUAACAGAGUUAUGGCCCUUUGUGUCUUGAAAAAUGCUUUUUUUGUGUGUCCAGGGCCAUAUCUUGGAAGUGCUUUGGCGGAUUUCAUUGAAACUUGGUAUGGGUAUGUAUAUUAAUAAGAGGAUGAUGCACGCCAAAUGGCAUUGUACACCAUCUGUUUAUAAAGGAGUUAUGGCCCUUUGUAUCUUAAAAAAAAUGCUUUUUUGAGUGUCAAAUAUAACACUUUUGUGUCCAGAAGCAUAUUGAAGGGGAUAUCAAUUCAACGAAUUUGCUUGUUCCUUGAUGUGUAUUGUGUGUUACAUUUUGAGAUUUUUAAUAAAAAAUAUAUGUCAGUUUUAAUUUUGAGUUUUGUGUAUGGUUUGUAAACUAACCUUGUUUAGCCAAGAAUGUGAUGAUUAUUGGACAUUUCCUUGGAAUAGGUCGAUCAUUAUAAUAAUUAUCAAGAUAUGAAUAAAAGGAAAAAAUUA